RNAcentral lists this ribosomal RNA (440 nucleotides) under Tiarina fusus. RNAcentral's name for it is "Tiarina fusa partial Eukaryotic large subunit ribosomal RNA". The record is from RNAcentral. Lineage: Eukaryota; Ciliophora; Prostomatea; Prorodontida; Colepidae.
UUUUCUUCCUGGGAGCGACCAACUGCAAGUGCUGCUACUCGUAAAUACAACUUAAUGUUGUCUGUUAUUGAUUUGUUUUGUUACUCGGGCCCUGAAACUGAAGUAUUGGAGUUUAUUGUUGAACGAAAAUUCAAAGCACCUCAACUUUCUACAAAAUCUUCUUCUAGGAAAUGCUCCAACAAUGAAAUAUCUCGAAAAUCGUUUACGUUUGAUUCCUCUAACAGAAGAUGAAACUCUCGCUGCGGUUUUACACGGCAAGAAUUAGCUUAAAACAAAUCACGAAUUUAACCACCUGACGUUACUUAAAGGUGCCAAACUAUUGAAAAAUCUUUGUGGAGGAAGCCCAGUCAAUUAUCUUUUUCGGAAAAGGCUAAUUGUGAAGAUGAAGACAACAGAAUUCAUCUUGACCGAGGCGAUAGAUAUAAUCGAAAUUGACGACU